CCUACCUCCACAGCAGUGCCUUUAGGCUAGGAUCAAGUGUAGCAUCUAUUUUUAUUGGUAUAAUACCUGAUUCAUCCUCAGUUUGAAGGCUUGAUAUUAAAUGGGAUUGGAAGAUGCACUAGGAGCUUGCUGCACACAUCAAACCAGUGUUGUGCCUCCUCUAGGCAUCCAAGCAGGUGCCUAGA
This is a small nuclear RNA of Aquila chrysaetos chrysaetos, 185 nucleotides long. Its record names the gene U2. It matches the Rfam family "U2 spliceosomal RNA". From Rfam's summary of the family: U2 is a small nuclear RNA (snRNA) component of the spliceosome (involved in pre-mRNA splicing). Complementary binding between U2 snRNA (in an area lying towards the 5' end but 3' to hairpin I) and the branchpoint sequence (BPS) of the intron results the bulging out of an unpaired adenosine, on the BPS, which initiates a nucleophilic attack at the intronic 5' splice site, thus starting the first of two transesterification reactions that mediate splicing. The record is from Ensembl. Lineage: Eukaryota; Metazoa; Chordata; Aves; Accipitriformes; Accipitridae.